UGAGGAAUCUUGCGCAAUGGGGGAAACCCUGACGCAGCAACGCCGCGUGAGUGAGGAAGGUCUUCGGAUCGUAAAGCUCUGUCAGAUGGAAAGAACCGCAUGAGGGCCAAUACCCCUCAUGCCUGACGGUACCAUCAGAGGAAGCACCGGCUAACUCCGUGCCAGCAGCCGCGGUAAUACGGGGGGUGCAAGCGUUGUUCGGAAUUAUUGGGCGUAAAGAGCGUGUAGGCGGCAGGAUGUGUCAGAUGUGAAAGCCCUGAGCUCAACUCAGGAAGUGCAUUUGAAACUGUCCAGCUUGAGUAGGGGAGAGGGAAGUGGAAUUCCUGGUGUAGAGGUGAAAUUCGUAGAUAUCAGGAGGAACACCGGUGGCGAAGGCGACUUCCUGGCCCUAUACUGACGCUGAGACGCGAGAGCGUGGGUAGCAAACA
This 428-nucleotide ribosomal RNA is filed under the name uncultured prokaryote. Its description in RNAcentral is "bacterial SSU rRNA". It matches the Rfam family "Bacterial small subunit ribosomal RNA", at positions 355 to 774 of the family's 1533-position model. The record is from RNAcentral.